Molecule: long non-coding RNA, 742 nt
Organism: Zingiber officinale
Lineage: Eukaryota; Viridiplantae; Streptophyta; Magnoliopsida; Zingiberales; Zingiberaceae
Exons: 3
Source: RefSeq, a predicted model, not a curated record
CACCUCCUUCUCUUCAACGCCAAGCUUCUUCUCUCGAGCCACCUCGCGACACCGUCGACUUCAUCCUUCCCCUCUCCCUAGUCCGCGAGCCCUCACCCUCGCUGGCCUUCCUUCCCUUUCUCGAGUUCCCGCACCCCGCCGCUCUCUCUCCCUCACACGAGCACCACAGAUCACAGCCGCUGGUCUCUCCUCGCGCUGCACCAGAGACGCCGCGACGAGCCAACGGUCGACGCCGACCCCUCUUCUCCCCGAGCCGUGCCCUAACUGAUCCGGACGUUGAUUGAGACGGUUGACGUGACGGGGCGUGAUUUGGUUCAGUUUACGUAUAAAGGUAGCAGGUAGAUGAAUCAUGGAUGCUUGGAGAGUCCCGGCUACCAGUCUCACGUCACACUCGAGGAUAGUCUUCUUUUUGGUUUUGUUACUGAUUAGGUGGUAUGUUGAUUUUGCGUAUUUUGUUUUCCAAUAAAUUGAUGUGGAUUUUGAAGUCUAGUCUGGCGGUUGCAGGUAUUUUAGUUAGUGACUUUGUUGGUUUUACAUUCGUAUUAUUUUAUAAUUUUUCGUUGCGUUUACUUUCAGUCGUGUGGGCAAAUAUUAACUGUGUGGUUGUUUUAUUCAUUUAUGUCCAGCCGAGUAGGCUGCGUAUAUUAACUGCGUAGUUAUGUUGUUUCUAUUUUAUGUAUGUUCUAGCCGUGUGGGCUGAUGAGUAAGUUGUUUAUGUUUAUAUGUUGUGAUGUAUGUAUAU